GUAUUUAUAAGUGAGGAGCGCGUCAAAAACAGGCCCAAGUCCAGCGAGCCACCGCCGGGCGGUUUAAGUAUGUCGCCCGGCGGUUUCCCAUAACUUGCCGCCACCGCCCGGCGGCAAUCGCCACCGUCGGGCGGUUUGCCUCAACGUCAAAUGCCCUGUCUACUCCUCGUCCUGGACCGCCCGACGGUUUAAGUGUGCCGCUGGGCGGUAUGUCGAC
RNAcentral lists this long non-coding RNA (217 nucleotides) under Vigna radiata. RNAcentral describes it as "long non-coding RNA (VRAD_LNC011899)". The record is from RNAcentral. Lineage: Eukaryota; Viridiplantae; Streptophyta; Magnoliopsida; Fabales; Fabaceae.